UGGAAUAUGCAAGUAAUCUAUGCUGACAGUAAGCAGAGGAGUGGUUUUCUGGAAUAGAACAGCAUGAAGCAGGGAAAGAAAUAAAAAGAAGCAUUACAAAAAGUUAGGAUGCAAUUUUUGGCUUAUGUAUAUUAGUUAUUUUGGUGGUGAUGGCUUCAAAAGCAUGUAUUUAUAUCAAAAUCCAUCCAAUCGUUUACUCUAACUUAAUGUGCAGUUUACUGUGUGUCAAUUAUACCUCAAGAAAGUUAAAAAAAAAAAAGGUGGGAAAAAAAAA
This 274-nucleotide long non-coding RNA is filed under the name Mustela putorius furo (domestic ferret). Its description in RNAcentral is "lncRNA (ENSMPUG00000031187.1)". The record is from RNAcentral. Lineage: Eukaryota; Metazoa; Chordata; Mammalia; Carnivora; Mustelidae.